AUGACAUUAAAUCACACUCUCCCUGUACAGGAAGAAUUCUCCCAGCAGAGACUGGUGAAAAGACAGAAGGCUCUGGAAUUAAUCAAGCUGGGUUUCGGCUUCAGUUUUGUCCCUCAUAGCUACUCCUCUGGGUCUGUAUAUUUUUAUCACCUCCCAGAGAUCAUACCUCCUGGUAAGUAGGAGUCAUUCAGCUUGCAGCACUGUCUGACAUAUACUAACCUUCAAUGCAUAUCUCAUUAUUGAUUGAUUUUUUUUUGAGAGAUAAUUUUAAAAGGCAUCUUGCUUCAGUGUGAGCAGAACUAUGAAAUCAUAAUCUCAGUCAUAGGGAAAAUACAGUUCCAUUUGUGUACUGAGUUUCUUUAGAAACAUUUCUAAUGUGUAGAGUAAUGAACACUUUUUAUUCUUGUAGCUGAAAGAUGAAUGAAAAUAGUAAAAUGGCUUUGUAAAAAAUAAUGGCAUCAAGGGAAAUGUCAUAAAAUACUAGAGAGUUUAUCAUUUUGCAUUACUUCUUUUUCUCUUUUUUUCCUAUGCUGGUAAAAACAAGUUACUAGAGCAUUUUAAGUGUCCAUCUUUAUAGCCUUGUUAAUAUAACAGUAACAUUUGUAACAGUGUGUUUUUACUUGCCAUAUAACACAUGGAUGUGAGAGAGUGGGUAAAAUUCUUUGUUGAAAGUAUAUUAUUCAUUAUGCAAUUCUUCGUAUUGACUUGUAACACUAUGUUAUAAAAUUUAGAAGAAAAAGAUACUUAAAGGUAAGAAAUAAAGAUGAUGUUUUAAAUUUUUUCUCAGUGGAUUUUUUUAAAUCCUUGGGAUGUUGCUUUUACAAAUUAUGGUUAGCUUUUUGCUUUCUCCCUCUCUCUCCUUUUACUCAGACCAUUUUUGGUAGAUAAGGAAGACUUAGGGAUUGGAAGACUUCAAACAGAUGGGCACUGGCACCUUAGGUCUGAUUUUAUCAGACUGCAUUGUGCCCUGUAGGAAAUGUUGUUAUUGAGGUAACUAAGCAUAAGGCAUUAUGGUCAUGCCAUGUUGAUUUUGGGAAUCAAAAAAUAACAUUUUCGCUCGGGUCUGACAGAAAAUCAGUUUACUUAAUGGUUUUGCCCUUAACCUUAAAUGGAACAAGAUGGAACUAAAAAUUUUAAAUCUAUAUGGUUAUUAAGGAAUGAUUAGAUAUUGUCUCACAGGGCAUUUUGGCACUGUGCUUGUAAAAUAAUACUUUUUUUUGUUUUGUUUUUCAAUGGUCAAUUCUCAGUCUUCAUUGUACUUGACCUCUCAGCACAUAUGAUGCAGUUGCUCACAACCUCUUCCUUGAUAUCUUUUCUUCACAUGGUUUCUAGGACAUCAAAAGCCCAUGGUUUUAAUCCUAAUUCACUGGCUUGUUUUUCUCAGUCUUGUUAACUGAAGCUCUCUUUUCUGCCUAUCCCCUGAUUGUUGGAGUGUCUCAGCACAUUCACUCCCUUGGCAAUUGCAUCCAGUCUCAUACCUUAUAUACUGAGUACAUGCAAACAGAUCCCAAAUUUAUAUCUCUUGUUCAGAGCUCUAGCCUGACCUACAGAUGUCAGUAUCUGCUGUUGACCUGACUUCUCUAUUUGAAUGUCUAACAGAUAUCUCAUGUCACACCUGUCUGAAACCCUCCCUUUCCAAACCUGUUUCAUUCUCAGUAUUCUCUAUCUCAUUUAAUGGCACUUCCAUCAUUCCAGUUAGUAAACCAGAAAUAGUGGUUUAAUCCUUUACUCCUUUCUUUUACUUAAAUCCCACAUACAAUCCAUUAUGAAAUGCUGUUGGCUGUAGUUUCAAAAUAUAUAUGUUUCAUUCACAUUCUACCGCUUUCAUUCUACCACUCUGACUCAAAACAUCAUCAACUUUCAUCUCCAUAACCAUAAUGGCAUUCUAAUUUAACUUGCCUGUCUCCUCCUACCAUUGUCCCCCACAUCCUGCCCCCUUCAAUGGUCUAAACCCAGCAGAGCAGCCAGAGGGAUCUUGUUAAAAAGUCAGUCAGAUCUUCCUGCUCCUUGCUCAAGACUCCCUUUCUACUCAGAGAAAAUCAAGGUAAAUCAGUGGCUUUAAGAUCCUGCAUGAUCUCACCUCUGUUACUUCUCUGAUUUUCUCUCUAGCUACUCUUUUCCUUGCUUCUACCUUUACUGGCCUCUGCUUUUUCCCAAUACACAGGAAUGUUCCCGCCCUUUCCUCUGCCUACAAUAUUCUUCCCCUAUGUAUCCUCCUUGCUAAUUAUCUCAACCCCUUAAUGUCAUUUCCCAAAUGAUAUUCUUCCAAUGAGGCCUGUUUCCUGAGCACCCUAUUUAAAAUGGCACCGUGCCUAACUGCCCAACUCUCCAGAUACCCCUUAUCUUCCUCUAUUUUUUUUUUUUAGUUUUUUUAAUUGUCUUUCUCUGUUGUAUUGUAAACUUCAUGUUUGCAGGGACCUGUACUUAUUUUGCUCAUUGAUGUAUCCGAAGAUGCUAGAAGGUUCUGGCACAAUGUAGGCUCUAAUAAAUAUUUGGGUAAUGAGUGAAUGAGUAGUGGAGAAGCAGUGACCUGACAGCUUCUUCACUGCUUGGUAUAAGGGGCUAGUUCAGUAUUGGAGAGACUGUCUCACCACAGUCUCAUUACUGUUGUUCCUUUUAAAGAGAAAGGCUAUUGGGCUAAUUAGGAUUU
Molecule: long non-coding RNA, 2650 nt
Organism: Papio anubis (olive baboon)
Lineage: Eukaryota; Metazoa; Chordata; Mammalia; Primates; Cercopithecidae
Source: Ensembl